UACGUAGGAGGCAAGCGUUGUCCGGAAUUACUGGGCGUAAAGCGCGUGUAGGUGGUGGGACAAGUCUGCUGUGAAAGCGCCUGGCUUAACCGGGCGAGGUCGGCGGAAACUGUCGCACUCGAGGACGGUAGAGGGGGGGGUGGAAUUCCCGGUGUAGUGGUGAAAUGCGUAGAGACCGGGAGGGAACACCUGUGGCGAAGGCGGCCCCCUGG
RNAcentral lists this ribosomal RNA (212 nucleotides) under uncultured bacterium. RNAcentral's name for it is "partial 16S ribosomal RNA". It matches the Rfam family "Bacterial small subunit ribosomal RNA", at positions 524 to 732 of the family's 1533-position model. The record is from RNAcentral.